CCUACGGGUGGCAGCAGUAGGGAAUAUUGCUCAAUGGGGGAAACCCUGAAGCAGCAACGCCGCGUGGAGGAUGAAGGUUUUAUGAUUGUAAACUCCUUUUGUGAGAGAAGAUAAUGACGGUAUCUCCCGACUAAGCACCGGCUAACUCCGUGCCAGCCGCCGCGGUCAUACGGAGGGUGCAAGCGUUCCUCGGAAUCACUGGGCGUAAAGAGUGCGCAGGCGGGCUUGUAAGGCAGAUGGGAAAUCCUGUGGCUUAACUACAGAACUGCAUUUGAAACUAUGGGUCUAGAGUGUGGGAGAGGUAGGUGGAAUGCUUGGUGUAGGGGUAAAAUCCGUAGAUAUCAAGAGGAAUACUCAUUGCGAAGGCGACCUACUGGAACAUAACUGACGCUCAUGCACGAAAGCGUGGGGAGCGAACAGGAUUAGAUACCCGGGUAGUC
This 440-nucleotide ribosomal RNA is filed under the name uncultured bacterium. Its description in RNAcentral is "partial 16S ribosomal RNA". It matches the Rfam family "Bacterial small subunit ribosomal RNA", at positions 338 to 795 of the family's 1533-position model. The record is from RNAcentral.